This 71-nucleotide transfer RNA is filed under the name Rana wuyiensis. RNAcentral describes it as "tRNA-Gln". It matches the Rfam family "tRNA". From Rfam's summary of the family: Transfer RNA (tRNA) molecules are approximately 80 nucleotides in length. Their secondary structure includes four short double-helical elements and three loops (D, anti-codon, and T loops). Further hydrogen bonds mediate the characteristic L-shaped molecular structure. tRNAs have two regions of fundamental functional importance: the anti-codon, which is responsible for specific mRNA codon recognition, and the 3' end, to which the tRNAs corresponding amino acid is attached (by aminoacyl-tRNA synthetases). tRNAs cope with the degeneracy of the genetic code in two manners: having more than one tRNA (with a specific anti-codon) for a particular amino acid; and 'wobble' base-pairing, i.e. permitting non-standard base-pairing at the 3rd anti-codon position. The record is from RNAcentral. Lineage: Eukaryota; Metazoa; Chordata; Amphibia; Anura; Ranidae.
UAAGGAGUAGCAUAAUGGGAGUGCAGAGGGUUUUGAUCUCUCAAGUGUAGGUUCGAUUCCUAUCUCUUUAA